Molecule: long non-coding RNA, 659 nt
Organism: Rhinopithecus roxellana (golden snub-nosed monkey)
Lineage: Eukaryota; Metazoa; Chordata; Mammalia; Primates; Cercopithecidae
Exons: 3
Source: RefSeq, a predicted model, not a curated record
UUCUCCCCCCAACUCUCAUCCCCGCUAGCCCGCAGGCCGCCUGCCCCUUUCCGCACCUCCUUUUCCCAUCCUGCGAGAGAAACCUAGCUCCCAGAGCCGGUGCAGUCAGUCCCCUCGCCCCUCCCGCCCCUGCGCGGGUCCCCCUCCAGCCGUCGCUGCAUCCACCAACUCGGUUCCACUCAAUCGAUUUUUGCUGCAUGUCAACACUUAUUACCGUUCACAGAUCUUCAGAUCAAGGAAUUCUACUCAAGGAGCUAUACUCAAGGAACCACACUCAAAAAGCCUUAUUCACAUCUGGGUCUGUUUGGAACAGCAAGAUUAUAGCCUUUGAGAUGAUGCUGUAAUGGAACAAGAUUUUUGAUGGCCUUGAGAAUAUAUCAUUCUGGGAGAAGACAGCCGUCAUAUAAUGUCAUGAAGAUACUCAUGCAGUCCUAUGGAGAAGUUCAUUGGUGAGAAACUGAGCUAGAAUAAACUUGACAGCCAUGUGAGUGAGCCAUCUUAGAAGCAGACCUUCAGCCUCAGACAGCUUUCAGAGGAUUGUAGCCCCAGCUGAAAUGUCAACCACAAUCUCAUGAGAGACACUGAACCAGAAUCACCCAGCCAAGCUGUUCCCAAAUUCCUGAGCCACACAGACUGUGUGAAAUAAUAAAUGUUUAUUG